This 465-nucleotide ribosomal RNA is filed under the name Vreelandella stevensii. RNAcentral's name for it is "partial 16S ribosomal RNA". It matches the Rfam family "Bacterial small subunit ribosomal RNA", at positions 338 to 795 of the family's 1533-position model. Lineage: Bacteria; Pseudomonadati; Pseudomonadota; Gammaproteobacteria; Oceanospirillales; Halomonadaceae. The record is from RNAcentral.
CCUACGGGAGGCAGCAGUGGGGAAUAUUGGACAAUGGGCGAAAGCCUGAUCCAGCCAUGCCGCGUGUGUGAAGAAGGCCUUCGGGUUGUAAAGCACUUUCAGUGGGGAAGAAAGCCUUGGGGCUAAUACCCUCGAGGAAGGACAUCACCCACAGAAGAAGCACCGGCUAACUCCGUGCCAGCAGCCGCGGUAAUACGGAGGGUGCGAGCGUUAAUCGGAAUUACUGGGCGUAAAGCGCGCGUAGGCGGUCUGAUAAGCCGGUUGUGAAAGCCCCGGGCUCAACCUGGGAACGGCAUCCGGAACUGUCAGGCUAGAGUGCAGGAGAGGAGGGUAGAAUUCCCGGUGUAGCGGUGAAAUGCGUAGAGAUCGGGAGGAAUACCAGUGGCGAAGGCGGCCUUCUGGACUGACACUGACGCUGAGGUGCGAAAGCGUGGGUAGCAAACAGGAUUAGAUACCCCGGUAGUC